Molecule: long non-coding RNA, 1089 nt
Filed under: Monodelphis domestica (gray short-tailed opossum)
Lineage: Eukaryota; Metazoa; Chordata; Mammalia; Didelphimorphia; Didelphidae
Description: lncRNA (ENSMODG00000040566.1)
Source: RNAcentral
GCUUCACUAAUAAUUUAUCAGGGUGUCUUUUUCCCUUGUCUACUUUCCCAUUGUCUAUUUUGGCUUUUCCUCAUUUCUUCCAAUUUGCUGAGAAUGAGGUAAAAACUCUAGUUAUUUUAAUUUGUAUUUCUCUGAUUAUUAGUGAUUUGAAGCAAUCUCUUAUAUCAUUUUUAUCAUUUGCAAUUUAGCUCCACAUGAUAACAAGGUCAGUGACAAUCUAGAAUUUAUGUAGGAGAAGGCAACCAGGAAGGGUAGGUGACUUGAAGUUAUUCCAUGGAAAUCAAUUAGUGGACCUGGAGGAGGAGAGUCUUUCCCUGGAUCCUGCGUCAGCUUACAAUGUGGAAGUUCUCAACUAAGGCAAGGUUCAAAUCAUACCUCUCCAUGAUGCCUUGGUUCAACAAGAGAGGGAAAAGAAUUUGUUCAGCCCCAAAGGCAAAUUUCCCACUCAAACUGAUAGAUUAUUAUUUCUGGAUGAAGCUUUUAGAUUCAGACAGACGGUGUGGAAAUAAUAGACUGCAGCUGAUUCAGACACAAGGGGCAGAGAAGGAGUAGCAGAUCUCUGUCAUCCCUAGAAAUCUGACCACCUGACAAUAUGGGAAGUUGACUGAUUUGGUUCAUAAAAGGUAUUUAAAUUUGUUUCUGUGUUGGAAGAAUAUAAAUGAAUAACAAUGUAUUUGUUAAGCACACAAUGGGUGCUAGAUGACACAAUGGAUAUAAUUAUCCUGUCUGAAGUCAAGAAGACCUGAGUUCAAAUCUAGCCUCAGAUACUAUGUUGUCUUCAGCAAGUCAUUUAAGUCAGUUUGCUUCAGUUUCUUCAUCUGUAAAUGAGCUGGAGAAAGAAAUGGCAAACCACUUUAGUAUCUUUGCCAAGAAAACCUCAAAUGGGGUGAUAAGGAUUGAGACAUGACAGCAGAUAUGACUGAACAACAAAUGUGCCAAGCUUUGAGCAUAGACAUACAAAAUUAAGUCAACCAUUGUCCUUGAGAUGCUUGCAUUCCAAUAAGGCAAGAUAUUAUGAUUCUAUAAAAUUUAAAAGGUUUUUUGCAUGAGUAAAAUAAAAAUAACCAGAAGAAGAAAAGGAGGCUAGGA